AGUCCCAAUUAAAUGCUUUCCAGGAGUUGCUGUGGUCACGGUGUCUCUUCACAGCAAUAGAAACCCUAACUAAGACGCCACCCAAUCUGUGGUGUUUGUUAGACCAUCCCACAUCGACAAAAGUAAGUGGUUUGAUGUGUUUUGUUUUUCAGAUUGAUGUAAACAGCCUGGAUAGGCAAGGAAUAUCCAAUGUAACCAUGAUACAUGGACAACAUAGACUAUUAAGCAACAAGAGAAAACAGGUCAUUGACCAAAAUGGAUCUUCUAGAGGAUCUCAUAGUGAUGCCUCGGUGUCUGUCCCUUGCAUUCUCCACACUAUAGCUCAUGGGAUCGAGCUUGAAAUUUCAACAAAGAUGGUAAUGACAUCACUGCAAAAGGAAAAGAGCUGUUUUGUAAGUGAGUGAGGUAUGACUAAGUGCAUACCCGUGUGUGUUCAGUCCCUGAGCGCUCCUUUUCACACAGCUGCUUGGUUUGUAGCUAGGAAAAAGGAGACUAGAAGACAUAGGAGUCUAUAUUUUAAUUAAAUCCACCUUUCUUUGAUGGUCGGAUGAAAAAAUUACACCAUUUUAGUUGUUAUAAUUUAUAAACAAAUACACAAUCUCAAAAAUCUCAUUGAGAUUAUCAGGAGCUGAAAGACACCAGUCUCAGCUUUAUAACUCAAGUAUAAUUCUCCUUGGAAAAAAAACACUAAAAUUAAAUAUUCUGUGAUUAUACUAGACUUUUGCUACCAUGUAACCAAUGAACAAAAAUUUGCUGAAGGCCCAAUACCCCUAAACAAAUUCACACUUUUAGCAGAUUAACCUCCAAGUUUUAAUCUGCUUUAAUCUGACAACUCACAGUAGCAUGCCAGUAACUCUUAUAGUCAGGAAGACAUUUCACAAAUAAUUUUACCUCACAGGGUCACCAGGAGCUCUCACCUCCUGACAUUUCACAACUGGAUAUCCGAGAUUUUUUCUGUGGGUAACUCAGCUUUAAAAUGUUUCCAAGCUAACGUUGUUAAAGGAUGGCCUGCAUCACUGAAUUUGGGAAUAUUGAUGACUAGUUCUUACUUACCUGGAGUGCAUCCAGAAUUGGUUUCUGAGGAAAAAAAAAUCUACAAAUUGUCUCCAGUGCUCCUCAGGCUUCAAGGCAGAGGGUUUCUCUGUAUUGCUUUGGAGGCUGUCUUGGAACUUGCUCUGUAGACCAGGCUGGCCUUGAACUCACAGAGAUAAGCCUGCUUCUGCCUGGGAUUAAAGCCAGAACCUGGAAACAACCUAGAUGUCCCUCAACUGAAGAAUGGAUAGAGAAAAUGUGGUAUAUUUACACAAUGGAGUACUACUCAGUGGGGAAAAAACAAUGGAAUCUUGAAAUUCGAAGGCAAAUGGAUGGCACUGGAAGAAACCAUCCUGAGUGAGGUAACCCAGUCACAAAAAGACAAAUGUGAGCCUUCAUCAUGUGGCUGAUAGAAGCAGAAGCAGACACCCACAGCUAAACACUGAACUGAACUCCUGGAACCCAGUUGCAGAGAGGGAGGAGUGAUGAGCAAAGGGGUCAAGACCAGGCUGGAGAAACCCACAGAAACAGCUAACCUGAACAAGGAGGAGCUCAUAGACUCCAAACUAAUGGCUGGGAGGCCAGCAUGGGACUGAUCCAGACCUCCCUGAACGUGGGUGUCAGUGAGGAGGCCUUGACAAUCUAUGCGGCCUCUGGUAGUAGAUCAGUAUUUAUCCCUGGAAUAUGAAUGGACUUUGGGAGGCAUUCCACAUGGAGGGAUGUUCUCUCAGCCUGGACAUAUGGGGGAUGUGUCCAGAUGAUAUGACAGACUUUGUCGAUCACCCAUGGAGGGCCUCACCCUCCCUGGGUAGCAGAGGGGGGAUGGAGGGAGGGUU
RNAcentral lists this long non-coding RNA (1868 nucleotides) under Cricetulus griseus (Chinese hamster). RNAcentral describes it as "lncRNA (ENSCGRG00015032060.1)". The record is from RNAcentral. Lineage: Eukaryota; Metazoa; Chordata; Mammalia; Rodentia; Cricetidae.